This 497-nucleotide ribosomal RNA is filed under the name uncultured bacterium. RNAcentral's name for it is "partial 16S ribosomal RNA". It matches the Rfam family "Bacterial small subunit ribosomal RNA", at positions 28 to 507 of the family's 1533-position model. The record is from RNAcentral.
GAUGAACGCUGGCGGCGUGCCUAAUACAUGCAAGUCGAGCGAACAGACGAGGAGCUUGCUCCUCUGAUGUUAGCGGCGGACGGGUGAGUAACACGUGGAUAACCUACCUAUAAGACUGGGAUAACUUCGGGAAACCGGAGCUAAUACCGGAUAACAUGUUGAACCGCAUGGUUCAACAGUGAAAGACGGUCUUGCUGUCACUUAUAGAUGGAUCCGCGCCGCAUUAGCUAGUUGGUAAGGUAACGGCUUACCAAGGCAACGAUGCGUAGCCGACCUGAGAGGGUGAUCGGCCACACUGGAACUGAGACACGGUCCAGACUCCUACGGGAGGCAGCAGUAGGGAAUCUUCCGCAAUGGGCGAAAGCCUGACGGAGCAACGCCGCGUGAGUGAAGAAGGUCUUCGGAUCGUAAAACUCUGUUAUUAGGGAAGAACAAAUGUGUAAGUAACUAUGCACGUCUUGACGGUACCUAUUCAGAAAGCCACGGCUAACUACGUG